RNAcentral lists this long non-coding RNA (12495 nucleotides) under Ananas comosus (pineapple). Its description in RNAcentral is "long non-coding RNA (ACOM_LNC025870)". The record is from RNAcentral. Lineage: Eukaryota; Viridiplantae; Streptophyta; Magnoliopsida; Poales; Bromeliaceae.
UUAAAAGAAAAUAAAAUAUUUUCAUGUGAGAAACAGUUUUAAAAAGGUUUUCUCGGCAUUUCAUGAUUUUAGUAUUUUUAAAUGAGUUUUUGGGUAGAAAAUACUUUCAACUGAUAGUUGUGAAAUAUUGUGAAUGUACCGUUGUGAUUGGUUGUGGUUGUGAUUUGUAUUGUGUGCGACACCGUGCAAAUACAGAGGAGACUCUGUCCGUGUGAACAGUGAAUUAUUUGUAUUUGUGGCGUGUCUGUCAUCCUUUGGGUCAAGGUUUCAAAAAAAAUUUUGGGCACUUUCCGCUAAUCUGUAGGCUUUAAGUGUAACACACUGAACUUUAGCAAAUUACAGUGUUCGAGUGUUUGAUUUGUGUUCUAAGUCUUUGUGGGUUUUCUGUAUGGUCGUUGACUGUGUUCCAACUUAUGACUCAAUCCGGAGGAGCGAGGGUGAAAACUUAGCGCCAAAACCUUUAAAUGAAGGAUUUGGGCUGCUCUCGGAUUGGACUCUGCAGGGCAGAGUGCCGGUACUGCAUCGGCUGAGUACCGGUACCAGGUCCAGUACCAGUACGUAGUGUGUGUUCUUGCUUACCCGAGGCUCGGGUUUGCGCGUGCUGCUACCUGGUACCGGUACGCCGGCCCGUGUCACCGGUACGCAGUGCAGUGCAGACUGCAUGAUUGUAGAGAGGUUUUUUCGAGUUUGUUACAACUCUAUAUAUACCCCACGCCCCCUUUCUUGUUCCCUGAGCUUAGAACUUGAGGAGAGAAGCGUAAGGAGCUUCUCCUCUUCCCCUCUUUGAUUUUUUUCCUUUUUGUUGGAAUUUUUGAGGAUUAAUCACCUCUUUUUGCUUCUCUUUGCUUGUUGGUGACCUUUCCACCAUUGGAGAAGCUUUGGAGCUUGGAUAGGAGCUUGUUGGAGGAGAGAUCUUCAACCCUAACUCGUUUCUAGUUUGGUUUGGGGCUUUUAGAGAGGUUAGUAAUCUUAAUUUCUCAUUUGAUUCAUGUUUUGGUAGUUUUCUUGAUAUGAAAACCUAGAAUGUGAAAUCUAGGAUUUUAUUUGGGAAAUUUUGAUUUGAGGCUUUUGGGACUUAAUUGAUAGGUGUAGAACCUUCCUCUAGGUUGGAUUAGAAGUGCUAUAGCUCCCAUUUGGAAUUUAGGAGGGUUUUCUACAAUUUAAGGUAAGAUUUGGCCUUUCUUUGGGUUGGUUAAAGAUGAACUCGAGGAGUGUUCAUUCAUUUCGUCUAACCCUUUUAGAAUUAUCUCUAGGAGCUAAGAGACUAGUGGAUGUUUGAGAUUAAAAAAAUUCAAAUUCAAAUUGAGAAAACACUUUGUUUGAGAUGAAAAGAUUCAAAUUCAAAUUCAAAUUGAGAAUAUGGAAGGAAAGAAAUUAAAUUGCAAUUUGAUUACUUCUUUCCUUAGAGGACUAAGUAUUAACAAGGAAAAAGAUAAGGAAAAUAUUAUUGCCCUAUCUUCAAAAAUUUUUGAAUUAUUUUCUAAAGUGAAUAGGUCCUAAUAUCACUAUAAAUUGGACAAUAGAAUUCAAAAAUGAAUCUCUUGGAGAGGGGGGAGAAAGAAAAAAAAAAGUAGAUCAGAACAAAAAAAAAAAGAAAAAAAAAGAAAAAGAAAACAAAAAGGAUGAGAGCGAGAGAGAGAGAGCCUCAAGAGGAGGGUCCGCACCUCCCUCUCUCUGGAUCGAUGGAAGAGAGAGGCGUGGCACCUUCCUCUCUCAGCAUGAUCAAACGAAUAAAGAAAAAAAAAAAAUAAAGCAAAAUAUAUCUAUAUAAUAUAUAUAUAUAUAUAUAUAUAUUAUAUAUAUAUAUUAUUAUAUUAUAUAUAUUUCUAUAUGGAGGAGCGACGGAAGCGACGACGAGACGCGUCUCGCGUUUGUUGAGAAGAUACGAGGACGACAACUGACAUGUGACGACUCGACAAACGACAUUUUAGAUUGACCCAUAGGAAGACUGCUAAGAAAGUCACGCGAGUGCAAGGUUGCUUGAAUCUAGUUGUGUAUCUGAGCCGAAUAUUCGCAUUUGAUGUAUUUCUAUUGCAGAUGGCUCAUGAACGCCCCAAUCCUUAUUGCCGCACUAAAAACGGCCCAUCAUGCCCCUUCUUCCUUACUUCUUCUUCCUCGAAAGCAGAAACUGGAGUUGUGGUGGAUUAGAUUGAAAUACGUGCAAAAAAACGUAUAGUAGUGAUUUUCUCUUAGUCGCUUUGAUGUAAGUUCACGACCCGGUAGCAUGCCUCGCUAUCAGGAUAGGUUGACCGGGAGGUGCCGACAAAUGCAGCUGAGAUUCAUGUAGCGCUACUGAGAUCCAGCUGUUGUGCCGGGAUACUUGCGUCGUACCUUCAUACAACGUCUCACGCGUCGAGCUCUUCCCACCACUCAGUUCGCGGAUAUGAGAAGGCUAAGUUUACGCCGUCUAAGCAUGUGAUCCCGUAAAAGAUCUACUAGACAUCUUCAUCAAAAUGAACGAUAGCGCGCUCGUAUAAGGAACGCUCCUGCCCAAUCCGACUUUCACAUAUUGCGUGCGGCCGCUGUGUUCCGUCUCGUGAAUCUCGACUAACGCUCAGUAUCCAUCAAAAAACAAUUAAUGAUAAUAAAACGAAAAUAAAAACAUGAUUAAAAUAAAUAUUUAUCUUGGAUCACGUCUUCAGUGAUAUGCUAGAUCAAUUUGACCAAUAAACCGCGAUGCGCCGCUCGACGUGAUAGGCUCUACGUUCGGUGCACAGCAAACUCCUCCGCACGAACGCGCGGACUCUCCGGCGACUCUGCACCUAUAUAAUAUGUCUUCCAGACACAUCACAAACAGCGGUCGGAGCCGUUAAAAAGCGAGUCGCCCGUUCCUUCGUGAUAGCCUAAGAUCCAAAUUUGACAAUAAAAACCCGGGUCGCCGUCAGUUCGUGAUACGCUUGACCCGGGUUCGGUUCAUUAAAUUCGGGUCGCAGUCUUCGUGAAUAGGUCUGACGCGCGAGUUUCGGUUUAAUUAAAGGGUGUUCGCAUCAGUCUUUGUGAUAGCUUGCCCAGCCGGUUCGUUAAUAUAAAAAAAACGGGCCGGCCGUGCUUCGGUUUUUUGACUGCACGAAUUCGCAAUUAAACGGCGUGUCGCCGUCUCGCGUGAUAGGCUUGACGGCCGCGUUCAGAUUAAUUAAAAACGGGUCGCCGUCUUCGUGAUAGGCCCUUGACUCGGUUCGGUUCAUUAACGCGAGUCGUCGUCUUCGUGAUAGGCUUGACUCGGGUUCAGUUAAUUAAAUCGGGGUCGGGCCGUCUUCGUGAUAGCUUGACCCUGAGUAUCGGAUUAAUUACAUCCGGCCGUCGCCGUCUGGUAAUAGCUUGACGGACGCGAAUGUCGGCUAAUUAAACAGGUCACGCUUCGUGAUAGCUUGAUCCCGGUCGGGUACGGCCGUCUUCGUGAUAGCUUGACGCCGAGUUCGGUUAUUAAACCGGGUAGCUCGGCCGUCUUCGUGAUAUGGCUUGGACUCCGAAUUCGCUAAUUAAACGGUCGCCGUCUUCGUGAUACGCUGACCCGAGUUGCGAUUCAAUUAAUCGGGUCGCCGUCUGCAGUGAUAGGCUGACCCGAGUUUGGUCAUUAAACUGGGGUCGCCGUCUCGUAAUAGGUUGACCCGAGUUCGGUUAAUUAAACCGGGUCGCCGUCUUCGUAAUAGGCUUGACCCGAGUCAACCAAACCAUAAUGACAAAUCAAAUCGGAUGAUAAGCCGAUCAAGUCUAAUCAAUAAGUCUAAUUGAACCAUUAAAGACAUUAACUAAAUCAAAUUAAACUACAAGCUAGUUUGACUUGAACCAAACCAUGAGGGAUCCAACCCGAACUAAAAUGGGUUCGAUCCGAAUCAAACCACAAGGGAUUUGACUUCAACCAAAGCGGAUCCGAUCCAAGCUGAACCGAACCGGAUCCCGUCUGAACCAAAUCAUAAUGGAUUCGACUUAAACCGAAGCGGAUCCGAUCCAAACUCAACCGAAGCGGUUCUACUCGAACCGAAGCGGAUCUGAUCCGAACCGAACCAAAUGGAUUCAACUUGAUCUGAUGUAGAUCCAACUUGAACCAAAUCAGGAAGGAUUUGACUCGAAUCGAAGGGGAUCUGAUUUGAGCCGAACCAUAGAAGAUUCAACUCGAACCGAAGUGAAGUGGAUCCAACCCGAACCAAACCAUAAAGGAUUCGACUUGAACCAAAGUGGAUCCGAUCCGAACCAAACCAUAAAGGAUUCGACUUGAACCAAAGUGGAUCCGAUCCGAGCCAAACCAUAAAGAAUUCGACUUGAACCAAAGUGGAUCCAAUCUGAACCAAACCAUGAAGGAUUCGACUUGAACCAAAGUGGAUCCGAUCAAAACUGAACCGAACCGAAUCCCAUCUGAACCAAAGGGAUUCGACUUGAACUAAAGUGGAUCCGAUCCAAACUGAACCGAACCAGAUCCGAACCGAACCGGAUCCUGUCUGAACAGAACCAUAGAGGAUUCGACUUGAACCAAAGUAAAUCCGAUCUCAACUAAACCGAAUCGGAUCCCGUCUGGACCAAACCGAACAAGAUUCAACUCGAACCGAAGUGAGUCAGAUCCGAACAGGAGUCGGUUCGAUCAGAACUGAACUCAACUCAAACCGAACCAUGAAGGAUUUGACUCGAAUUGAAGUGGGUCCGAUCCAAACCAAAUCAUGAAGGAUUCGACUCGAAUUGAAGUGGGUCCGAUCCGAACCAAAUCAUGAAGGAUCCAACCCGAACCGAAGUGGUCCAAUCUGAACCAAAUCAUGAAGGAUUCGACUCCAAUUGAAGUGGGUUCGAUCCGAACCAAACCAUGAAGGAUCCGACCCGAACCGAAGUGGUCCGAUCCGAACCAAAUCAUGAAGGAUUCGACUCCAAUUGAAGUGGGUCCGAUCCGAACCAAACCAUGAAGGAUCCGACCCGAACCGAAGUGGUCCGAUCCGAACCAAACCAUGAAGGAUUCGACUCGAAUUGAAGUGGGUCCGAUCCAAACCAAGCCAUGAAGGAUCCGACCCGAACCGAAGUGGUCCGAUCCGAACCAAACCAUGAAGGAUUCGACUCGAAUUGAAGUAGGUCCGAUCCAAACCAAGCCGUAGAGGAUCCGACUCGAACCAAAGUGGGUUCGAUUCGAACCCAACCGUAAAAAAUCCAACUCGAACCGAGGAGGGUCCGAUCUGAACUGAACCGAACCGGAUCCUGUCUGAACCGAACCGAACAGGAUUCAACUUAAACCAAAGCGAAUCCGAUCAGAGCUGAACCGAACUAGAUCCGAACCAAACCGGAUCCUGUCUGAACUGAACCAAAUAUGAUUCGACUUGAACCAAAUCCAAAGCGACCAAAUGAACUUAAGGCCACCCAACUCAAACCAAGUCUUGAUGGGUCCCGAACCAAAGCAUAACAGUUCAACCCAAACCAAGUCUUGAUGGGUCUUGAACCAAAGCAUAACGGUUCAACCCAAACCAAAUCCAAAACGACCAAAUGAACUUAAGGUCGCCCAACUCAAACCAAGUCUUGAUGGGUCCCGAACCAAAGCAUAACGGUUCAACUCAAACCAAGCCUUGAUGGGUCUCGAACCAAAACAUAACGGUUCAACCCAAACCAAAUCCAAAGCGACCAAACAAACUUAAGGUCGCCCAACUCAAACCAAGUCCUGAUGGGUCCCGAACCAAAACAUAACGAUUCAUUCCAAAUCAAAUACAAGAGGUUUAAGCCAACCCAAACCUAAAGUCCACAAAUAAACCCCAAAACCAAAGUCCACAAAUAAAUCCCAAAACCAAAGUCCAUAAAUAAAUCCCAAAACCAAAAUCAACAAAUAAAUCCCAAAACCCAAAGUCCACAAAUAGAACCCAAAACCCAAAGUCCACAAAUAAAUCCCAAAACCCAAAGUCCACAAAUAAAACCCAAAACCCAAAGUCCACAAAUAAAUCCCAAAACCCAAAGUCCACAAAUAAAACCCAAAACCCAAAGUCCACAAAUAAAAUCCAAAAUCCAAACUCACGACCGCAAAGUCGUUAAACUAAACAACCCAAAAUCAAACGACUGUAAAGUCGUUAAACUAAAUCCGAAUUCAUACGAUUGAAAAGUUGUUAAACUAAACCCAAAUUCAAACGACCGAAAAGUCGUUAAACUGAACCCAAAAUCAAAUGACCAAAAAGUCGUUAAACUAAACCCAAAAUCAAACGACCGUAAAGUCGUUAAACUAAACCCAAAUACAAACGAACGAAACGUCGCUAAACUAAACCCAAAUUCAAACGACCGAAACGUCGUUAAACUAAACCCAAACUCAAACGACCGAGACGUCGUUAAACUAAACCUAAACUCAAAUGACCGAAAUGUCGUUAAACUAAACCUAAACUCAAACGACCGAAACGUCGUUAAACUAAACGCAAAACUCAAACGACCGAAACGUCGUUAAACUAAACCCAAACUCAAACGACCGAAACGUCGUUAAACUAAACCCAAACCAAACGACCCGGAAACUCGUUAUAAAUUAAAACCAAUUCAAACCGAAAUGUUUUAAACUAAACCCAAACUCAAACGACCGAAACGUCCGUUAACUAACCUAAACAUCAAAACGACCGAUCAAUGCGUUAAAUAUCUAAACCCAAAAUCCAAACGACCGAAACAUCGCUUAAACUUUAAAUCCAAACUCAAACGACCGAAACGUCGUAAACUAACCCAAACUCAAACGACCGAACGUCGUUAAACUAAACCAAAUCGAACUCUAAACAUAUACAUAGAGUUCAUUCCGACUAACCCUAAUACAUCUCCCAGGGCGAAGUCAGCCUUUUGCUCGACAUACUAACCUACAGUGCAAAGUCAAAUCAUGUUCGACUAUCCUAUAACACAAUCCCUUAGGGUCAUGUUAGCCUCUUGCUCUCGCACAUCUACCUAGAGUGAAAUCCGAUACCCGAUCGAGCUCUAAUACAUAAUACUUGGACUCAUACAAUCAAUCCCCGACAAACCCUUAACGCAAUACCUUUGGGCUAGUCAGAUCUUCACUCUAGCAUAUAUAAACUAAGUAAAAUAGAUUAAACUCGUUAAUCUGUGCCAUACACUCAGAAUUAGUCACUCUCUACUUGUGGAUAAUAUCACAAACGAUCUAGCUUCAAUACAUAUACUUGGGGUUGGUCACAUCUCAACCUGAAUAUACCAACAAGGUGAACCCGACCGCCAUUGUCAUUAAAGCUGACAUCACAAACGAAAUCCGAACGCCAUGUCCUAACUGAACAUUCAAAAACCAAUCGAGCCGACAUGUCCAUAAACAGCACCAAACCGUCAAUUCCGAUCCGCAUGUCUUAACUGAGCACCAAAAAACUCAUAACCUGACCGCCAUGUCUUAAACCUGAGUCACCAAAACUCAAACCACCGAACCGCCAUCUCAUUAAACCUGAGCACCAAAACUCAAACCGCCGUCAGUACAUAAAAUGACAUCCAAAACUCAAACCCACCGGCCAUGUCAUUAAAUGGCACCAAACUCCAAACCGACCGCCAUGUCAUUAAACUAGCACACAAAACAAGACGAGCCGUCAUGUCAUUAAACGAGCACGCACCGUUCAAUCAGAGCCCGAUCGGGCCGGAUGUCUAAACGAGCAUGCUCAAACCAAAUCCACUGCCCAUGGUUCGGCUAAACUGAGCAUCUCAAACUCAAACCGACUGCCAUGUCGCUAAACUGAGCAUCUCAAACUCAAACCGACUGCCAUGUCGCUAAACUAAGCAUCUCAACUCAAACCGACUGCCAUGUCGUUAAACUAAGCAACUCAAAUCAAACCGACUGUCAUGUCGUUAAACUGAGCGACUCAAAUCAAACCGAAAACUGAGCGACUCAAAUCAAGCCGACCGCCACGUCAUUAAACUGAGCGACUCAAAUCAAGUCGAACGCCAUGUCGUUAACUGAGCUACUCAAGUCAAGUCGACUGCCACGUCGCUAAACUGAGCUACUCAAAUCAAGCCGACUGCUAUAACUCAGCUCAAACAGACUAAAUAACUGCCAAGUCCAUAAACUGAGCAUUUCAUCAAUGUACAGUGGGGGUAUGCCCCUGCUUAAGCCAUGUACUUGAAAAUUAUAUCAAUUCAAGUUCAUCUUUAUACUACGGUCUCUUUCUAUCAUCAACAUUAAAUUUAGUCUCUUAAUCAAGGGUUCUUUAACACCGAAAGUGUGGCGUAAUUAACAGCAGAUUCUUGAGUCUAUUGGAAGUUAUGAACCUAUAAUCCUGAUUUCAAAAUAAAAUUCAAACAAAUCUAAUUUCUACCAUGAAUGACCACUCGCCCUAGAAACAACCUACGGUGGGGCCGGUUCGUUCGUGGCAGAUAGUGGACAUCUUCGUUCGCGCAAACGAAGGGAAUCCGAGGAGUUCUUGGUGGGUUUGACCUCACCAAAAUAGGUGAACUCCCCUUGUAAUAUACCGAGAAUUCGGAAAAUAAAGAUGUCGAACUUUAGUCAAAUUGACCAAAGUGUGAGGACGGUACACUUCGGAAAGUCGGAAGGUGAUAAAAUGAUUAAAAGCGAGUUACGGGAGGUUUUCGAGAGCUAUAGAAUCAAAAUCUGCAUUCUGCAAUUUUGAGCUCUCGGGGACCGGUCCCUGGUGGGAGAGACCGGUCCCCGAACGCGUAUGAGGUGAGACAGCCGAAAAAUCGGCUAAGUCCUGAGAAAUUAGCUCUCGGGAACCGGUCCCUGCCUGAGAGACCGGUCCCCGAGAGACCGGUCCCCCAAAGGGAGACCGGUUGCCCUGCGCGCAGCAGCUCUGGCUGCGCGGGGAGAGCCUUCGGGAACCGGUCCCUGAAGGAGAGACCGGUCCCCGCCUGCGCGAUCAGCCCAUUCCAGGCUGUGUGAAAGAGUGAAAGUUGAGGGGUUUAUUUGCAAUUAUGCAACCCAAUAGCUAUGUUAUGAGGGCUAAUGAGAUUUUCUCUCAUUCUCACCCUCUCAAACACUCUCUUCUCUCCCUCUCUCUCUCUAGAAGGCAAAGGAGAAGAAAGAUUAAGUAAGAAGAAAGAAGAAAAGGAAGGAAAAGAAGGAGAGAAAAGGAGAGAAGAAGAGGCAGUAAGAAACUCCUCUCCCUAUCUCUAGCUUGGAAGAGAAAGCUUCACAAGAUAAGCUUUGACGCCUAGUCAUGCUAAAAACCUAAAAUUGGGAACUUAGGUGACCUAGAAGUGAGUUUUUAUGUGGGCAUUUUGAGUCUUUGAAGCUUUUCUUUUGCUUCGUCCUUCUUUGGAAGAUCAUGACCAUGAUGUUUAGUGUUGGAGGUGAAGCUUGAAAGAAGGCUUCCAUCUCCCUCUCAUGCGUGAAAUCCAACUAGGGUUCUGGAAAAUGAGUUUAGGAAUGGUUCUAAUGGACUUUUUAGAGUAUAAUGAAGCUACUUUGCUUCUCUUGAGCAUCCAACCCUAGGUUUUUGAUUAUAUUGUAUUGCGACUAGGGCACCAAACUUUGGGGUUUGCUCAUGGAUUCUAAGUGCAAUUGAAUCCAUCAGAAACCUAAUUGGGCGCCGUAUUAUCCGACGCCGUUGGUGCGUUGCGGAAAUAUUAGCGUUCACGAAAAGUGUAUGUAAAUUAUGGCCAAAUAAGCCUAAUUUGGCUUCGUUAUGCCGCAGGAAGAGAAGCAGUUCUAAAUCCCAGAAGAAAAUCAUCGCCACCCCCGAGCACCUUUAAAAGCUACGAGUGUGCGGUGGUGCUCUCCAAAACUCAUUGAACUUCUCUCUAUACUAAUGAUGUCAUUCAUUUGAGAUUAUAUAAUAUCUAUAUCGAUUGAUGCAUUUUAGCGGUUAAAGUUAAUAAUGAAAAUAUAAUGCAUGAUGAUUGUGAGUACAACUUGCUAAUAUGAUGAAUGAGAACUAUGUGAUGUCGAAAACCCUAUUUUAUGCAUGAGAGGAAAAGUGAGCCCCAAAGUGAGCAAAAGAACGAGCUGACACCAUGACAUAGAUUCGAGUGGCAUUCGAUAAAGUUAAGUUAACGUGAAAUGACACAUAGAGAUCAGUUGAGGUAAAGAACAAUGUAAUGUAAGAAUGAUGAAAUGACAAGCUUAAAGUUAAGUAAUGUGUGGAAGUAAGCGACAUGAAGUGCUAGAGGAGCCAAAAAUAAGGAAUUAUAAGAAUGUGGUCGCCAUAGUUCUGCAAUAAACGUGAUGAAGGAACACUAGACCCUAGUGUAAAGUCAAGAUUGAACUUAUUAAAUCCUUUGAGUUAAGGAUAUGAUCAAUACUUGCUAUGAGUUCCGUGUCGGAGGUGGUCGUCCCCUCGGGCGAUGCCUCCGCGAGUUAUGCAUCACGGGGUUGGAGUAAAGCCCGAAGGACGCGUCCUAGCGGCGUGAGUUCUGCGAUGAUGACUUAAUGUGAGAGCAAGUCAUUGUGGCGAUAUCCCGGGUUAGCCUUGAGAUUAAAGAACAAAGAGUAAAGAACAAAGUGCAAGAACAAGAACAAAGAGUAAAGUGAAAAGAAUAAAGAAUUUGCAUAAUAUGCAUAUGUUAAUGUUGAGCAUAUUUCUUGCUUAUUGUUCAGGCAUAUUAGCAUCAUGUUGUAGAUUGGUUACUAUAUUUCAGCUUAUCCUUUCUAUUAUGCCUGAGUUAGUCCUAGUGGGAAAGUCGGUGAUGUUGAGGCCGAACCCACUGGGAACUUUGUUGUAGUUCUCACCCCACUAUUUCCACAGAGCCGGGACCGAGCGAGCCGGCGAGCGACCGAGGUAAAGGUAUCGCGCCUUAGUCAGAGGCCACCAAAGUUGGGUUUCAUUUUGUAGUAAAGUACCCUAUGAUCAUCUUUUGUACAUGAUGGUAAAUGAUGUAAAGAAAAGAAUAUAACGUGUAUUUUGAGGUAAAUGUGAUGUAAGAAAGAAAUGAUGAAGCGAAAUGUAAGGAAUUCAAAAAAUUACAAGUUGGAUGUAUGUAUAUGAUCUAAAUUGAAUCAUAGUAUAAGCGAAUGUUUAGUUUUCCUUUCUUUCACUAAUGGCUAUUGCUUACUCUCGUGUAAGCCGUUUGUGUAUGUUUCCGCUAGUGCAUUUAUUGUUUGAAUUUGUACAUGUGAUGAGCCUUGGGCUGAUAGGGGAAACUCUGUCCGUUCGGCGUCUGUUCGACGUGCUCGGGCCGGCCCCAAUUGGUAUCGGUCCCGGGGCGUGACACCCCUAUAUUAUAUUCUUUAUUGUAAAAUAAAAAAUCAAGCAUAUUCAUGCUAGAUAGGGCAUAUGUGAAUUUUAGAAUGCUUAAAAUGUAUAUAUUAUGUAUCAUGAAAUUUUACCUCUAUGUAGUAGAGAGAUUAAUUCAUAGUAAUCAUGCAAGUGAAUGGCAUUCUAUUAUGUGACUUGGAACCAUGCUUCAUAUAAUGAAAAUGACUAGAAUAACAUGCUCUUGGAUAUAGAACUCAUGUUUGACAUAGUGGACAUUAAUGUCAUAAAGUGGCAUUCAAUUUAGUAAAGGUGAAACUCUUGCUUGAUGACAUAGAGAUAGGCCAUUGGGUCAUUAGCCUUUAUACCAUGUUUUAGACAUAAUGACAUCGGACUUGAGACGGAUGAUUACGCUUGCUUGCCAUUGUGCUCAUUCGUAAAUGUUUGUGAGGGUCGUUCCCCACAAGCCAUCACUCCGGAGAUAGCCAUCGCGACAUAAGCUCGUCCGUGCGGGAUUGGUAGCCGAAAUGGGAUGCCGUGGGGGAGGCUCAUUCCUAGAGUGGGAAUGUUGAUUACCACGGGGCGAUUAGGCACGGCGCAAGCCGGACUACCCUUGUGUAGGUCCUAUAUGAUUGGAACAAUAUUGAACUAAAAUGCAAUGUGGACAUUAGACUAAUUAGUAAAUGUUGACAUUCUACUAGUUGUACUUGUGGACAUUAUGUUAUUUAUAUAUAUGCUCAUUCAUGUUAGAAUAGCUCUUUUACUUGUAAAACAUCAUGCUAAAGUAGAGGCAUAGUAGUUUAGUAAGUUUAUUUCAUUCUCAAAAUACAUAUUGUUCAUUUCAUUUAAAUGUUAGAACAUACUGCCUCCAUAACCUAGUGGUGUAUUUCGCUGAUGUCGGCGGCUUACCCACUGGGAACUAUUGAUUAAUAGUUCUCACGCCCCCUAUUUUGUUGUUUUUGUUAUAGAGUCUUCCACACUGGGUGAGGCUAGGGACCGCGGCAAGGGUGUCGCCACUAGCUAGUUGCGAGGGGUUUUGCUUUUAGGUGGUUCACCUUUCUUUUUGGUUUUAUUUCGAGAGGAUGAGAGUUUUGUACCUUAUGUAGAGACCACCAUUUUUGUACAUCUAGCACUUGUAUUUGAGAUCUUAUGAUGUAUUUACUUGUGGAUUAUGAUAGUUGUUUAGUUCUUUUAUAUUCUACUUGUCUUUAGAAUUUAGUUAUAAUCAUGAUUUGAUAUCUCUAGAUGCUUGUUUACUGUUGCUUUAAUUAUUGGUUUGUUAUAGACGCCUUAUAUGUUGUAGGCAUAUGACGGGUCUGGACACGCACCGGGCGGGCUUCCGCUGGGUCCCGGGGCGUGACAUUAAGGGACCUCGGGGCGUGACAGACAAUGAAUUAUCUGUAUUUGUGGCAGGUCUGUCAAUCUUUGGGUU